GGGUUGUGAGGUUAAGCGACUAAGCGUACACGGUGGAUGCCCUGGCAGUCAGAGGCGAUGAAGGGCGUGCUAAUCUGCGAUAAGCGUCGGUAAGGUGAUAUGAACCGCUAUACCCGACGAUACCCGAAUGGGGAAACCCAGUGCAAUUCGUUGCACUAUCAUUAACUGAAUCCAUAGGUUAAUGAGGCGAACCGGGGGAACUGAAACAUCUCAGUACCCCGAGGAAAAGAAAUCAACCGAGAUUCCCCCAGUAGCGGCGAGCGAACGGGGAAGAGCCCAGAACCUGAAUCAUCGGUUGCGUUAAUGGAAGCGUCUGGAAAGUCGCGCGAAACAGGGUGAUAGCCCCGUACAUGAAAACGCAGCCGGUGUGAGUUCGAUGAGUAGGGCGGGACACGUGUUAUCCUGUCUGAAGAUGGGGGGACCAUCCUCCAAGGCUAAAUACUCCUGGCUGACCGAUAGUGAACCAGUACCGUGAGGGAAAGGCGAAAAGAACCCCGGCGAGGGGAGUGAAAGAGAACCUGAAACCGUGUACGUACAAGCAGUGGGAGCCUUGAUUUAUCAGGGUGACUGCGUACCUUUUGUAUAAUGGGUCAGCGACUUAUAUUUUGUAGCAAGGUUAACCGAAUAGGGGAGCCGCAGGGAAACCGAGUCUUAACUGGGCGUCAUAGUUGCAAGGUAUAGACCCGAAACCCGGUGAUCUAGCCAUGGGCAGGUUGAAGGUUGGGUAACACUAACUGGAGGACCGAACCGACUAAUGUUGAAAAAUUAGCGGAUGACCUGUGGCUGGGGGUGAAAGGCCAAUCAAACCGGGAGAUAGCUGGUUCUCCCCGAAAGCUAUUUAGGUAGCGCCUCGUGAACUCAUCUUCGGGGGUAGAGCACUGUUUCGGCUAGGGGGUCAUCCCGACUUACCAACCCGAUGCAAACUGCGAAUACCG
RNAcentral lists this ribosomal RNA (935 nucleotides) under Salmonella enterica. RNAcentral's name for it is "partial 23S ribosomal RNA". It matches the Rfam family "Bacterial large subunit ribosomal RNA", at positions 1 to 965 of the family's 2925-position model. RNAcentral also lists the same sequence under 1 other name. The record is from RNAcentral. Lineage: Bacteria; Pseudomonadati; Pseudomonadota; Gammaproteobacteria; Enterobacterales; Enterobacteriaceae.